ACUUUCACUCAGGUUCUGCUUUUAGUUGGUGGUUUGCAGUCUUAAGGGGAAAUUGACAACCAGAAACCAUAAUGGAGAAGGACACAGCUGUCUGAAUGGAGAGGACGCCUUCAUGCAGAGUGAAUGAGGAGAGCAUGCUGAGGAUUCCUACACUGGGAGGAAGUGAAUAAUUGUGAUAUUUGAGUGUAAAGAUAAGAUAGUCACCUGACCUCUCGCCAACUGACUAUCAUGUCUUCAAGCAUCUCUACCACUUUCCAGGGAAAAAAUGUCGACAACCAACAAGAGGCAGAAAGCCCUUCCCAAGAGUUCAUCAAAUCCUGAAGCAUGGAUUUUGUUGAUCAUUGUUUUUAGGUGACAUUCCUUUUGAAACAAUCAGUUACAAAAUGUAUUGGAGUAGUUAUGUACUCUUCGAGGUCCUCAGAGCAACAAACAACACAGAAAACUGAUGUCUGCAUGUGUGGAGGAAUCUCAUCACCAGUGAGCAAGCAUGAUUUAGGAAUCACCAUCCACAUGAAUCUCUCUCUUUGUUUAUUUGCAUUAAAUUUCAGAUUUCCCAAAUGAC
Non-coding RNA from Odocoileus virginianus texanus, 562 nucleotides. The record is from RefSeq and is a predicted model, not a curated record. NCBI's taxonomy places the organism in Eukaryota, Metazoa, Chordata, Mammalia, Artiodactyla, Cervidae.